GAUGAACGCUGGCGGCGUGCCUAAUACAUGCAAGUCGAACGAGGCCCUCUUCCUUCGGGAGGAGGUGUCCUAGUGGCGAACGGGUGAGUAUCACGUUGGUGACCUACCCCGAAGAGGGGGACAACCCCGGGAAACUGGGGCUAAUACCCCAUGUGAUCCUAAGGACUAGAUGCCUAAGGAUGAAAUGGAGCAAUUCGCUUCGGGAGGGGCCUGCGGCCUAUCAGCUAGUUGGUGAGGUAACGGCUCACCAAGGCUACGACGGGUAGGGGACCUGAGAGGGUGACCCCCCACACUGGAACUGAGACACGGACCAGACACCUACGGGUGGCAGCAGUAGGGAAUAUUGCACAAUAGGCGAAAGCCUGAUGCAGCAACGCCGCGUGCGCGAUGAAGGCCUUAGGGUUGUAAAGCGCUUUUCUGGGGGACGAGAAAGGACGGUACCCCAGGAAUAAGUCUCGGCUAACUACGUG
This 470-nucleotide ribosomal RNA is filed under the name uncultured bacterium. RNAcentral's name for it is "bacterial SSU rRNA". It matches the Rfam family "Bacterial small subunit ribosomal RNA", at positions 28 to 507 of the family's 1533-position model. The record is from RNAcentral.